UGGGGAAUAUUGGACAAUGGGCGAAAGCCUGAUCCAGCCAUGCCGCGUGUGUGAAGAAGGUCUUCGGAUUGUAAAGCACUUUAAGUUGGGAGGAAGGGCAGUUACCUAAUACGUGAUUGUUUUGACGUUACCGACAGAAUAAGCACCGGCUAACUCUGUGCCAGCAGCCGCGGUAAUACAGAGGGUGCAAGCGUUAAUCGGAAUUACUGGGCGUAAAGCGCGCGUAGGUGGUUAGUUAAGUUGGAUGUGAAAUCCCCGGGCUCAACCUGGGAACUGCAUUCAAAACUGACUGACUAGAGUAUGGUAGAGGGUGGUGGAAUUUCCUGUGUAGCGGUGAAAUGCGUAGAUAUAGGAAGGAAUACCAGUGGCGAAGGCGACCACCUGGACUGAUACUGACACUGAGGUGCGAAAGCGUGGGGAGCAAACAGGAUUAGAUACCCAAGUAGUCCCUGAGCGGGCUGGCAAGGCGCAU
RNAcentral lists this ribosomal RNA (472 nucleotides) under uncultured bacterium. Its description in RNAcentral is "bacterial SSU rRNA". It matches the Rfam family "Bacterial small subunit ribosomal RNA", at positions 355 to 825 of the family's 1533-position model. The record is from RNAcentral.